UACGUAGGGUGCGAGCGUUAAUCGGGAUUACUGGGCGUAAAGCGUGCGCAGGCGGUUGUGUAAGACAGGUGUGAAAAUCCCCGGGCGUUAACCUGGGAACGUGCGCUUGUGACUGCACGGCUAGAGUACGGCAGAGGGGGGUGGGAAUUCCACGUGUAGCAGUGAAAUGCGUAGAUAUGUGGAGGAACACCGAUGGCGAAGGCAGCCCCCU
RNAcentral lists this ribosomal RNA (211 nucleotides) under uncultured bacterium. RNAcentral's name for it is "partial 16S ribosomal RNA". It matches the Rfam family "Bacterial small subunit ribosomal RNA", at positions 524 to 730 of the family's 1533-position model. The record is from RNAcentral.